GAACUUAAAAAAUUGGAUCCAAUCCGGAUUGUCAAUUUCUUCAAUUCGAAAACAGAAAAUCUAAACCGAAUUUUCAUAUGCAAUCUGAGCUGCCCACCCCUAAAAUUUAGUAAACAUGUAACAUGACUAAAGUGGAUCUCAUCAACAAGGAUAAAUAUCAAAAAAUGAAUUUCAAUCAUCUGGUUGGUGUCAGAGACAGAUAUCAAUCAUCUAAACUGACUACUGAAAUGGUUCAAUUUUCCUGCAAACUACAAGGGAAUCAAAAAGGCAAAGAACUGACUUCUAAAGAAGCUAUUAAACAAAAUGCACAUUCACAUCAAGCAUCAACAAAGCAGAAAAUACAGCCAAUGUAUACACGAUAACAGUUGCUCGAAUCGUUGGACCCUGAGAAGUCGGACUGAUAGGUCCAAAUGCUGCCGGAGGAAACAGCCCACCUGGAGUCGAACUAUCGAAUAAAAGAAAGCAAUUUAGCACAGAGAAGCAAUAUUUUUGCAAUUUACCAUGCACACAUAUACUUAGUUUAGUAAUCUCACCUUCCUGUAAAUUUACAUGUUUUGGAAC
Molecule: long non-coding RNA, 561 nt
Filed under: Nicotiana tabacum (common tobacco)
Lineage: Eukaryota; Viridiplantae; Streptophyta; Magnoliopsida; Solanales; Solanaceae
Description: long non-coding RNA (NTAB_LNC017827)
Source: RNAcentral